AGAGUUUGAUCCUGGCUCAGGACGAACGCUGGCGGCGUGCCUAAGACAUGCAAGUCGAGCGGGGUUUCAGGGCUUCGGUCCUGAGACCUAGCGGCGGACGGGUGAGUAACACGUGGAUAACCUGCCCUCUGCUCUGGGAUAACAGGCCGAAAGGCCUGCUAAUACCGGAUAAGCUCACGGACCCGCAUGGGUUUGGGAGAAAAGGCGCUGGAGUCAGUGGCGCUGGCAGAGGAGGGGUCCGCGGCCCAUUAGCUGGUUGGCGGGGUAACGGCCCACCAAGGCGACGAUGGGUAGCCGGCCUGAGAGGGCGACCGGCCACACUGGGACUGAGACACGGCCCAGACUCCUACGGGAGGCAGCAGUCGGGAAUUUUGCACAAUGGCCGAAAGGCUGAUGCAGCAACGCCGCGUGAGCGAAGAAGGUCUUCGGAUCGUAAAGCUCUGUUGUAAGGGAAGAACAAGUGCAGUAGUAACUGGCUGCACCUUGACGGUACCUUACUAGAAAGCCACGGCUAACUACGUGCCAGCAGCCGCGGUAAU
RNAcentral lists this ribosomal RNA (539 nucleotides) under uncultured bacterium. RNAcentral describes it as "bacterial SSU rRNA". It matches the Rfam family "Bacterial small subunit ribosomal RNA", at positions 8 to 524 of the family's 1533-position model. The record is from RNAcentral.